This is a long non-coding RNA of Gorilla gorilla gorilla (western lowland gorilla), 794 nucleotides long. RefSeq lists it as uncharacterized. NCBI's taxonomy places the organism in Eukaryota, Metazoa, Chordata, Mammalia, Primates, Hominidae. The record is from RefSeq and is a predicted model, not a curated record. The transcript is spliced from 3 exons.
AGAGAACUCGAAUGACUGACGGAGCCGUUUAGGUUGGCCCAGCAGAGAGUCUCACUGUGUCGUCCAAGCUGGAGUAGAGUGGCACGAUCUGGGCUCACUGCAACCUCCGCCUCCUGGGUUCUAGAGAUUCCCCUGCCUCAACCUCCCAAGUAGCUGAGAUUACAGGUGGAAAACUACAUCUUGAGGAGUUUAGUUACAUAUCUGAUAGGUUGCAGUGCUCCAGCUAGAACUCAGGAAAGACGAGAAGGUACAAGAAAAUGUUGAUGAAGAAUUGACUGUGAUAGCCAUGGAACACACCUUGUUUAAUUUUUGUCCUCACAAUAAUCUUAUGUCGUUGGCAGAUCCCUAUUUUUAUUCCCGCACAGCUUUAUUGAGAAAUAAUUGACAAACAAAAUUGUAGAAGUUUAAGGUGUACGACCCAUGAUUUGAUAUACAUAUACAUAUAUACUAUGAAAUGACUACCACAAUCAACUUAGUCAACACAUCUAUCACCUCACCUACUUACCUUUUUUUUUUUUGGUUUUGUUUUGUGGUGAGAACAUUUAAGAUCUGUCAGCAAAUUUCAGCUAUACAAAUUGCGUGCAUUAAGUACAUUUACAAUGUUGUACAUCCAUUAUUACUAUUCAUUUCCAGAACUUUUUCAUCAUCCCAAACAGAAGCUCUAUGCCCAUUAAAUAACUCCUCGUGCUCCUUCCCAACUGCCCCUGGUAAUUUCUAUUCUACUUUCAGUCUGUAUGAAUUUGCCUAUUCUUGAUACUUAAUAUAAAUAGAAUAAUAAAAUAUUUGUCUUUCUA